This is a long non-coding RNA of Gavialis gangeticus (Gharial), 118 nucleotides long. RefSeq lists it as uncharacterized. The record is from RefSeq and is a predicted model, not a curated record. NCBI's taxonomy places the organism in Eukaryota, Metazoa, Chordata, Crocodylia, Gavialidae. The transcript has 3 exons.
UGAAAGGCUUUUUGAACAAAAUCAAUUCAAUUUCAAUUUCAAUUUAUUAAGGAUUCUGGCUGAAAGCCAUGCUCCCAAAAACAACAUAACAAACAUACAAUCAUAAUAUAAAUUUAAA